Molecule: long non-coding RNA, 772 nt
Filed under: Capsicum annuum
Lineage: Eukaryota; Viridiplantae; Streptophyta; Magnoliopsida; Solanales; Solanaceae
Description: long non-coding RNA (CANN_LNC013685)
Source: RNAcentral
AAUUCAAAUAAAUUUUGUCCAAAAAGAUAGAUCUCAUCGAUCAAUCAUUUUCCAAAUCCGAAGCCGAGCUGAGCCGAGCCAGCAACGACAACGACGGCGCGAGGCAUCUCUUAUUUCUUGCCUCACUUACCAUGUGGGGUAAGUGUUCAUCAUUAUAAACACUCCAAAGUUCCUUUCUCCCACCAAUGUGGGAGAAUUAGUGCACUUUCCAAUUUUGGGAGUACACUUUCCAAAUUGGUGUCUCCUCUUCUCCACCAUUUUUUCUCUAUUUUCCAUUCACACUUCUCCUCUUCUAUGAACACUUCUAUAUAUAUAUAAAAAAUAUAAUAUAAUAUAUUAAAAGUGUGAAGACCCUUAAAAAAGUGAUUUGAACUUUUUAAUUUCUUUAAAAGUCUCUGCAAUGGAUAAAAUUAUUUUUUCACCUUUUUCCUUAAUUUAUUAUUUAAUUAUUUUUAUAAUGUUGAAUCCUAAAAUAUAUUGAAUUAGAUCGAAAAUAUAUGGUAAACUUUUAACUAUUAAAUUAGGAGUCAGUAAAAACUUCAAAUAAGUUGCCUCCAUGUUAGUGACUAAUUUUUCUAAAACCUUAAUACCAACCGUAGAAUGUUUUCUUGUUUUCUAUCUACUGGUCACCUCCAACCAUUGUCAUACUAAGAAUAUAUUUACAAUCCUUCUGUCAGGUUUGUGUUUAUUAAGUUAUUAGUUUAAUCGCACGUGCCUUGUUUGUGUCUUUGGUUGAAACUCAUAUGCUGACAUGAUCAUAGCUUAAACCAGC